RNAcentral lists this transfer RNA (71 nucleotides) under Ictidomys tridecemlineatus (thirteen-lined ground squirrel). Its description in RNAcentral is "Spermophilus tridecemlineatus (thirteen-lined ground squirrel) tRNA". It matches the Rfam family "tRNA". From Rfam's summary of the family: Transfer RNA (tRNA) molecules are approximately 80 nucleotides in length. Their secondary structure includes four short double-helical elements and three loops (D, anti-codon, and T loops). Further hydrogen bonds mediate the characteristic L-shaped molecular structure. tRNAs have two regions of fundamental functional importance: the anti-codon, which is responsible for specific mRNA codon recognition, and the 3' end, to which the tRNAs corresponding amino acid is attached (by aminoacyl-tRNA synthetases). tRNAs cope with the degeneracy of the genetic code in two manners: having more than one tRNA (with a specific anti-codon) for a particular amino acid; and 'wobble' base-pairing, i.e. permitting non-standard base-pairing at the 3rd anti-codon position. The record is from Rfam by way of RNAcentral. Lineage: Eukaryota; Metazoa; Chordata; Mammalia; Rodentia; Sciuridae.
UGGGUUGUGGCUCAGUGGUAGAGCGCUCUCUAGCACGUGUAAGGCCCUGAGUUCAAACCUCAGCACCACAU